UACGAAGGGUGCAAACGUUGCUCGGAAUUAUUGGGCGUAAAGCGCACGUAGGCGGCUUAGCAAGUCGGAUGUGAAAUCCCUCGGCUCAACCAAGGAAGUGCAUCCGAAACUGCUGAGCUUGAGUACGAAAGAGGAUCGCGGAAUUCCCGGUGUAGAGGUGAUAUUCGUAGAUAUCGGGAGGAACACCAGUGGCGAAGGCGGCGAUCUGGGUCGAUACUGACGCUGAGGUGCGAAAGCGUGGGGAGCGAACAGG
RNAcentral lists this ribosomal RNA (253 nucleotides) under uncultured bacterium. Its description in RNAcentral is "partial 16S ribosomal RNA". It matches the Rfam family "Bacterial small subunit ribosomal RNA", at positions 524 to 776 of the family's 1533-position model. The record is from RNAcentral.